CAAUAGGACUUCGACGGGCCCACUGCUGCUCUUCAGGUGCAUCUGAUAUUUCUUCUGCCCAUUGCCAGCCUGAGAGAAGAGAGAGAGAAAACUUUAAUACAUAUUAAGUGCACAUACAGCAAGAAGAGAGCAGAGAGGUAAGAGAGAUUCGGGAAGUGGCACCUCCAGCUGGGUUCCCGAGGGCGCGCGGAUGGCCAGCAGAGUAUCACCUACAGGGGGCAGCAGAGAGACACAGACUCUCUGCUGGUCCAGCUCCAGCUCCUGCCGCUCCAGCUCAACAAGCUCCGCCUUCAGGUCAAUCAGCCUAUCAGCGAUCUCCCUGGUGUUGCAGCCUGGACCCACGCCCCUAUCAGCAGAC
Long non-coding RNA from Sardina pilchardus (European sardine), 358 nucleotides. RefSeq lists it as uncharacterized. The transcript has 3 exons. The record is from RefSeq and is a predicted model, not a curated record. NCBI's taxonomy places the organism in Eukaryota, Metazoa, Chordata, Actinopteri, Clupeiformes, Clupeidae.